AUGAACGCUAGCUACAGGCUUAACACCUGCAAGUCGCGGGGCAGCAUGGGGGUUGCUUGCAAUCCCCGAUGGCGACCGGCGCACGGGUGAGUAACGCGUAUCCAACCUGCCCUUCACCACGGGAUAACCCGGCGAAAGUCGGACUAAUACCGUAUGUUGUCCAUUGACGGCAUCCGAUUUGGACGAAAGGCUUGGCGGUGAGGGAUGGGGAUGCGUCCGAUUAGCCAGACGGCGGGGUAACGGCCCACCGUGGCUACGAUCGGUAGGGGUUCUGAGAGGAAGGUCCCCCACACUGGAACUGAGACACGGUCCAGGCUCCUACGGGAGGCAGCAGUGAGGAAUAUUGGUCAAUGGGCGUAAGCCUGAACCAGCCAAGUAGCGUGCAGGAUGACGGCCCUAUGGGUUGUAAACUGCUUUUAUGCGGGGAUAAAGUGGCCCACGUGUGGGCUUUUGCAGGUACCGCAUGAAUAAGGACCGGCUAAUUCCGUG
RNAcentral lists this ribosomal RNA (489 nucleotides) under uncultured bacterium. RNAcentral's name for it is "partial 16S ribosomal RNA". It matches the Rfam family "Bacterial small subunit ribosomal RNA", at positions 29 to 507 of the family's 1533-position model. The record is from RNAcentral.